RNAcentral lists this ribosomal RNA (253 nucleotides) under uncultured bacterium. RNAcentral's name for it is "partial 16S ribosomal RNA". It matches the Rfam family "Bacterial small subunit ribosomal RNA", at positions 524 to 776 of the family's 1533-position model. The record is from RNAcentral.
UACGUAGGGUGCAAGCGUUAAUCGGAAUUACUGGGCGUAAAGCGUGCGCAGGCGGUUAUGUAAGACAGAUGUGAAAUGCCCGGGCUUAACCUGGGAACUGCAUUUGUGACUGCAUGGCUAGAGUUUGGCAGAGGGAUGCGGAAUUCCAGGUGUAGCGGUGAAAUGCGUAGAUAUCUGGAGGAACACCGGUGGCGAAGGCGGCAUCCUGGACCAUGACUGACGCUGAGGAGCGAAAGCCAGGGGAGCAAACGGG